AGGAUGAACGCUGGCGGCGUGCCUAACACAUGCAAGUCGAACGAGAAAGUGGAGCAAUCCAUGAGUAAAGUGGCGCACGGGUGAGUAACACGUGACUAACCUACCCUUGAGUGGGGGAUAACCUAGGGAAACCUGGGCUAAUACCGCAUAAUACCUUCGGGUCAAAGGAGCAAUUCGCUUAAGGAGGGGGUCGCGGCCGAUUAGUUAGUUGGCGGGGUAAUGGCCCACCAAGACUGUGAUCGGUAU
This 246-nucleotide ribosomal RNA is filed under the name uncultured bacterium. RNAcentral describes it as "partial small subunit ribosomal RNA". It matches the Rfam family "Bacterial small subunit ribosomal RNA", at positions 26 to 286 of the family's 1533-position model. The record is from RNAcentral.